Molecule: ribosomal RNA, 2085 nt
Filed under: Escherichia coli
Lineage: Bacteria; Pseudomonadati; Pseudomonadota; Gammaproteobacteria; Enterobacterales; Enterobacteriaceae
Description: partial 23S ribosomal RNA
Rfam family: Bacterial large subunit ribosomal RNA
Source: RNAcentral
CCUCGUGAAUUCAUCUCCGGGGGUAGAGCACUGUUUCGGCAAGGGGGUCAUCCCGACUUACCAACCCGAUGCAAACUGCGAAUACCGGAGAAUGUUAUCACGGGAGACACACGGCGGGUGCUAACGUCCGUCGUGAAGAGGGAAACAACCCAGACCGCCAGCUAAGGUCCCAAAGUCAUGGUUAAGUGGGAAACGAUGUGGGAAGGCCCAGACAGCCAGGAUGUUGGCUUAGAAGCAGCCAUCAUUUAAAGAAAGCGUAAUAGCUCACUGGUCGAGUCGGCCUGCGCGGAAGAUGUAACGGGGCUAAACCAUGCACCGAAGCUGCGGCAGCGACACUAUGUGUUGUUGGGUAGGGGAGCGUUCUGUAAGCCUGUGAAGGUGUGCUGUGAGGCAUGCUGGAGGUAUCAGAAGUGCGAAUGCUGACAUAAGUAACGAUAAAGCGGGUGAAAAGCCCGCUCGCCGGAAGACCAAGGGUUCCUGUCCAACGUUAAUCGGGGCAGGGUGAGUCGACCCCUAAGGCGAGGCCGAAAGGCGUAGUCGAUGGGAAACAGGUUAAUAUUCCUGUACUUGGUGUUACUGCGAAGGGGGGACGGAGAAGGCUAUGUUGGCCGGGCGACGGUUGUCCCGGUUUAAGCGUGUAGGCUGGUUUUCCAGGCAAAUCCGGAAAAUCAAGGCUGAGGCGUGAUGACGAGGCACUACGGUGCUGAAGCAACAAAUGCCCUGCUUCCAGGAAAAGCCUCUAAGCAUCAGGUAACAUCAAAUCGUACCCCAAACCGACACAGGUGGUCAGGUAGAGAAUACCAAGGCGCUUGAGAGAACUCGGGUGAAGGAACUAGGCAAAAUGGUGCCGUAACUUCGGGAGAAGGCACGCUGAUAUGUAGGUGAAGCGACUUGCUCGUGGAGCUGAAAUCAGUCGAAGAUACCAGCUGGCUGCAACUGUUUAUUAAAAACACAGCACUGUGCAAACACGAAAGUGGACGUAUACGGUGUGACGCCUGCCCGGUGCCGGAAGGUUAAUUGAUGGGGUUAGCGCAAGCGAAGCUCUUGAUCGAAGCCCCGGUAAACGGCGGCCGUAACUAUAACGGUCCUAAGGUAGCGAAAUUCCUUGUCGGGUAAGUUCCGACCUGCACGAAUGGCGUAAUGAUGGCCAGGCUGUCUCCACCCGAGACUCAGUGAAAUUGAACUCGCUGUGAAGAUGCAGUGUACCCGCGGCAAGACGGAAAGACCCCGUGAACCUUUACUAUAGCUUGACACUGAACAUUGAGCCUUGAUGUGUAGGAUAGGUGGGAGGCUUGGAAGUGUGGACGCCAGUCUGCAUGGAGCCGACCUUGAAAUACCACCCUUUAAUGUUUGAUGUUCUAACGUUGACCCGUAAUCCGGGUUGCGGACAGUGUCUGGUGGGUAGUUUGACUGGGGCGGUCUCCUCCUAAAGAGUAACGGAGGAGCACGAAGGUUGGCUAAUCCUGGUCGGACAUCAGGAGGUUAGUGCAAUGGCAUAAGCCAGCUUGACUGCGAGCGUGACGGCGCGAGCAGGUGCGAAAGCAGGUCAUAGUGAUCCGGUGGUUCUGAAUGGAAGGGCCAUCGCUCAACGGAUAAAAGGUACUCCGGGGAUAACAGGCUGAUACCGCCCAAGAGUUCAUAUCGACGGCGGUGUUUGGCACCUCGAUGUCGGCUCAUCACAUCCUGGGGCUGAAGUAGGUCCCAAGGGUAUGGCUGUUCGCCAUUUAAAGUGGUACGCGAGCUGGGUUUAGAACGUCGUGAGACAGUUCGGUCCCUAUCUGCCGUGGGCGCUGGAGAACUGAGGGGGGCUGCUCCUAGUACGAGAGGACCGGAGUGGACGCAUCACUGGUGUUCGGGUUGUCAUGCCAAUGGCACUGCCCGGUAGCUAAAUGCGGAAGAGAUAAGUGCUGAAAGCAUCUAAGCACGAAACUUGCCCCGAGAUGAGUUCUCCCUGACUCCUUGAGAGUCCUGAAGGAACGUUGAAGACGACGACGUUGAUAGGCCGGGUGUGUAAGCGCAGCGAUGCGUUGAGCUAACCGGUACUAAUGAACCGUGAGGCUUAACCUUACAACGCCGAAGGUGUUU